RNAcentral lists this ribosomal RNA (262 nucleotides) under uncultured archaeon. RNAcentral's name for it is "partial 16S ribosomal RNA". It matches the Rfam family "Archaeal small subunit ribosomal RNA", at positions 728 to 982 of the family's 1478-position model. The record is from RNAcentral.
AUUAGACUACCCCUGUAGUCCGAGGGUAGUAAACGCUGCAGACUUGGUGUUGGAGUCCCGUUUGGGGGCAUUCAGUGCCGGAGAGAAGUUGUUAAGUCUGCUACGUUGGGAGUACGUCCGACAAAGAUAGAAAACUUAAAGGAAUUGGCGGGGGAGCACCGCAACGGGAGGAGCGUGCGGUUUAAUUGGAUUCAACACCGUAAAACUCACCAGGGAAGACUGUUACAUGAAGGCCGAGAUGAAGACUCUGCUAGAUUUUCAG